GGCGCAAGCGUUAUCCGGAAUUAUUKGGCGUAAAGAGCUCGUAGGCGGUCUSUCGCGUCUSCUGUGAAAACGGCGAGGCUCAACCUCGGKCCUGCAGUGGSUWCGGGCAGAYUAGAGUSCGGUAGGGGAGAUUGGAAUUCCUGGUGUAGCGGURGAAUGCGCAGAUAUCAGGAGGAACACYGAUSRCGAAGGCAGAUCUSUGGKCCSUAACUGWCGCUGAGGAGCGAAAGGGUGGGGAGCAAACAGGCUUAGAUACCCUGGUAGUCCACCCCGUAAACGUUGGGAACUAGUUGUGGGGUCCAUUCCACGGAUUCCGUGACGCAGCUAACGCAUUAAGUUCCCCGCCUGGGGAGUACGGCCGCAAGGCUAAAACUCAAAGGAAUUGACGGGGACCCGCACAAGCGGCGGAGCAUGCGGAUUAAUUCGAUGCAACGCGAAGAACCUUWCCAAGGCUUGACAUAUAGAGGAAACGUCUGGAAACAGUCGCCCCGCAAGGUCUCUAUACAGGUGGUGCAUGGUYGUYGUCAGCUCGUKUCGUGAGAUGUUGGGUUAAGUCCCGCAACGAGCGCAACCCUCGUUCUAUGUUGCCAGCACGUAAUGGUGGGAACUCAUGGGAUACUGCCGGGGUCAACUCGGAGGAAGGUGGGGAUGACGUCAAAUCAUCAUGCCCCUUAUGUCUUGGGCUUCACGCAUGCUACAAUGGCCGGUACAAAGGGCUGCAAUACCGUGAGGUGGAGCGAAUCCCAAAAAGCCGGUCCCAGUUCGGAUUGAGGUCUGCAACUCGACCUCAUGAAGUCGGAGUCGCUAGUAAUCGCAGAUCAGCAACGCUGCGGUGAAUACGUUCCCGGGUCUUGUACACACCGCCCGUCAAGUCAUGAAAGUCGGUAACACCUGAAGCCGGKRCCCAACCCUUGUGGAGGAGC
This 923-nucleotide ribosomal RNA is filed under the name Microbacterium arborescens. RNAcentral's name for it is "partial 16S ribosomal RNA". The record is from RNAcentral. Lineage: Bacteria; Bacillati; Actinomycetota; Actinomycetes; Micrococcales; Microbacteriaceae.